GCCGGCGUGGUGAAAUGGCAGACACGGUAGACUCAAAAUCUACUGGCCGUAAGGUCGUAUGGGUUCAAGUCCCAUCGCCGGCA
Molecule: transfer RNA, 83 nt
Filed under: Treponema sp.
Lineage: Bacteria; Pseudomonadati; Spirochaetota; Spirochaetia; Treponematales; Treponemataceae
Description: tRNA-Leu
Rfam family: tRNA
About the family: Transfer RNA (tRNA) molecules are approximately 80 nucleotides in length. Their secondary structure includes four short double-helical elements and three loops (D, anti-codon, and T loops).
Source: RNAcentral